UACAGAGGUGGCGAACGUUGUUCGGAUUUACUGGGCGUAAAGGGUCCGCAGGCGGUCCGGUGUGUCAGAUGUGAAAGCCCACAGCUUAACUGUGGAAUUGCAUUUGAAACUGCCGGACUAGAGUACUGGAGGGGAGAAGGGAACACUUGGUGUAGCGGUGAAAUGCGUAGAUAUCAAGUGGAACACCGGUGGCGAAGGCGCUUCUCUGGACAGAUACUGACGCUCAUGGACGAAAGUUAGGGUAGCGAAAGGG
This 253-nucleotide ribosomal RNA is filed under the name uncultured bacterium. Its description in RNAcentral is "partial 16S ribosomal RNA". It matches the Rfam family "Bacterial small subunit ribosomal RNA", at positions 524 to 776 of the family's 1533-position model. The record is from RNAcentral.